Molecule: ribosomal RNA, 125 nt
Filed under: Alteribacillus persepolensis
Lineage: Bacteria; Bacillati; Bacillota; Bacilli; Caryophanales; Bacillaceae
Description: 16S rRNA. Bacterial SSU
Rfam family: Bacterial small subunit ribosomal RNA
Source: RNAcentral
UUUUCAUGGAGAGUUUGAUCCUGGCUCAGGACGAACGCUGGCGGCGUGCCUAAUACAUGCAAGUCGAGCGCGGGAAGCAGUCUGAUCCCUUCGGGGUGACGAUUGUGGAACGAGCGGCGGACGGG